UACCUCUGGGCUCUUUAAUUG
Non-coding RNA from Caenorhabditis elegans, 21 nucleotides. NCBI's taxonomy places the organism in Eukaryota, Metazoa, Nematoda, Chromadorea, Rhabditida, Rhabditidae. The record is from Ensembl.